This 61-nucleotide transfer RNA is filed under the name Ornithodoros brasiliensis. RNAcentral describes it as "tRNA-Tyr". Lineage: Eukaryota; Metazoa; Arthropoda; Arachnida; Ixodida; Argasidae. The record is from RNAcentral.
GGUAAAAUGACUGAUUAGAGUGAUAAAUUGUAAAUUUAUUUAUGAGGUAACUCUUUUACCA